GUUAUAUAGUCAAGUGAUUAAGCGUACACGGUGGAUGCCUUGGCAGCCAGAGGCGAUGAAGGACGUUGUAGCUUGCGAUAAGCUUCGGGGAGGUAGCAAACAACCUUUGAUCCGGAGAUUUCCGAAUGGGGAAACCCACCUGUCAUAAGGCAGGUAUCGCAUACUGAAUACAUAGGUAUGCGAGGCGAACGCGGGGAACUGAAACAUCUAAGUACCCGUAGGAACAGAAAUCAAUUGAGAUUCCGUCAGUAGCGGCGAGCGAACGCGGAUUAGCCCUUAAGUCUGUGAAAGAUUAGGAGAACGGUCUGGGAAGGCCGGCCAUAGUGGGUGAUAGCCCCGUAUCCGAAAAUCUGAUCAGGUGAAAUCGAGUAGGUCGGAGCACGUGAAACUCUGAUUGAACAUGGGGGGACCAUCCUCCAAGGCUAAAUACUCCUGGCUGACCGAUAGUGAACCAGUACCGUGAGGGAAAGGCGAAAAGAACCCCGGAGAGGGGAGUGAAAUAGAACCUGAAACCGUGUACGUACAAGCAGUCGGAGCCCUCUUUGUGGGGUGACGGCGUACCUUUUGUAUAAUGGGUCAGCGACUUAAUUUCAGUAGCGAGGUUAACCGUUUAGGGGAGCCGUAGGGAAACCGAGUCUUAAUAGGGCGUUUAGUUGCUGGGAUUAGACCCGAAACCGGGCGAUCUAUCCAUGGGCAGGUUGAAGAUGCGGUAACACGCAUUGGAGGACCGAACCGACUACCGUUGAAAAGUUAGCGGAUGACCUGUGGAUCGGAGUGAAAGGCUAAUCAAGCUCGGAGAUAGCUGGUUCUCCCCGAAAGCUAUUUAGGUAGCGCCUCGGACGAAUACCACUGGGGGUA
RNAcentral lists this ribosomal RNA (858 nucleotides) under Alcanivorax sp. HI0033. Its description in RNAcentral is "bacterial LSU rRNA". It matches the Rfam family "Bacterial large subunit ribosomal RNA", at positions 1 to 904 of the family's 2925-position model. Lineage: Bacteria; Pseudomonadati; Pseudomonadota; Gammaproteobacteria; Oceanospirillales; Alcanivoracaceae. The record is from RNAcentral.